AUGCAUGUAUUGCAACACACGAAGAAAUUACAGGUAGUAAAAGGAAGAAUGCUACACAGCUUCACAAAAGGAAGAGUAAGAAAAAUCAGCGAUAUGAAGGAAAGUUCUACCUUUUCUAUUUCAUGGCGGAGUUCGAUAUUUUCAGACCAACUUCAAUUGAGAAUGGACAUGCCAUGCUACCCACCGAAGCCAGCUAUGUGCUGCUCAAAUAGACAAAUACUGCCGAGUAAUUGUGAAGCAACGUUUUGGAACUAUUGGCUCGCUUAUAGAUAUCGGCAUACUGCCGGGAUGAAAAUGGAAAUGAUCAAUAGCAGACUAGUUAGGCUAUCGGCGUACUGCCGGGAUGAAAAAUUGAAAUGA
RNAcentral lists this ribosomal RNA (360 nucleotides) under Triticum aestivum (bread wheat). RNAcentral describes it as "partial small subunit ribosomal RNA". Lineage: Eukaryota; Viridiplantae; Streptophyta; Magnoliopsida; Poales; Poaceae. The record is from RNAcentral.